GUCCACGCCGUAAACGAUGAUCACUAGACGUUAGUUUCGCUUUGCGGAAUUAGUGUCGUAGCUAACGCGUUAAGUGAUCCGCCUGGGGAGUACGGUCGCAAGACUAAAACUCAAAGGAAUUGACGGGGUCCGCACAAGCGGUGGAACAUGUGGUUUAAUUCGAUACUACGCGAGGAACCUUACCUAGGUUUGACAUGUAUGUGACAGUCGUAGAAACACGAUCUUUUGGAUUUCGGUUCAGACACAUACACAGGUGCUGCAUGGCUGUCGU
RNAcentral lists this ribosomal RNA (271 nucleotides) under uncultured bacterium. RNAcentral describes it as "partial 16S ribosomal RNA". It matches the Rfam family "Bacterial small subunit ribosomal RNA", at positions 793 to 1055 of the family's 1533-position model. The record is from RNAcentral.